This is a long non-coding RNA of Daphnia magna, 842 nucleotides long. RefSeq lists it as uncharacterized. The record is from RefSeq and is a predicted model, not a curated record. NCBI's taxonomy places the organism in Eukaryota, Metazoa, Arthropoda, Branchiopoda, Diplostraca, Daphniidae. The transcript has 4 exons.
UAGAGGACAAACGUAAGGACGAACUUUCUUUAAGACGGGGUAGGGAAAAUCAAAACGUAAAAAUUGAAUGGACUGACGAGGUAACUUGGUUACAAAAAAGACAAGACUGCCAAAAACAAAACGAGAAUACCCGACGACGACUUAGAAGGCCCUUGCCUCCUACAGCCCUACCCGAUGAGGGCAGCACCGUAGGUGACAUAAUUGUUCAAGUGUCCUGUCUAGGAAAAGCAUUUGUCUGUUCAAACAGGAUCUUCAUUUCAUUUCUGCAUAUAUCACUGUUUACGUUACAUCUGGUGACGGACAUUAACAUGGUUGGUGGCAGAGGACGUGCAAGUAUCUUAUCUGAUCUUAAUUGAUCUUCAGGGGUAAAAAAAAUAUGAAAAAAAAGUAUCUGAUCGGAUUGUAGUUGACCACCUAUCGGUAUCUGAUCUUCAGGCCAAAAAAAAAAGAUCCGAAACACUGGUCCCAGCGCAGCGCCCCGCCGUUCGGUGCGCAUAAGGAUGAAAAAAAAUACUUUAGUUUUUCUCUUUUCCCAACAUUCAUUUGUUUUCUUGCAGUUUCAGUGGUUUUAUUAUGGCAGUAUUAUUUGUGUGGUACUCCUUUACCGUGUUUUUGCCUUUUUGGUUUGGUUGCUGUUGUGUCUUUGUCGGUUUUGUUUGUUUUUCCUAUCUCCCCUUUCACUCUCUACUCGCGUGCAUUCAGCAAUUUGUAAAUCAGAAAGUUCCCAAACCAGAGUCAUAGAACCCUGGUUGGUUCACGCUGAGAGGAAUCCCUAUACCGCGUUUUGUUGGUCUGAAUGUCUAAAAUUUCGACGGUUUUGGGGUGGGGCACAGUGGUGGAAA